CCUCAAACUCGAAUUCGAUUAUUCUUCUGCAGGAAAAAAUGGCAACUGAAGCUGUGAUCAUUCAAGAACCCGUUUCCAUGGCGGAAAAAAUCGCAACCGAAACAAAGAUCAUUCAAGAACCCAUUUCCAUGGUGGUAUGCUUCUUUCAUCUUACAUAAUUUGCUUAACGUUUAUUCUCCAUUUAUAAAUAAUUCAUAACUUGCAACUGCAUAGUCUUUCAGUAAUUGUUGAUUGAUGAUCAUGCAUCAAGUUUGAUAUUUAAAA
Long non-coding RNA from Hibiscus syriacus, 264 nucleotides. RefSeq lists it as uncharacterized. The record is from RefSeq and is a predicted model, not a curated record. The transcript is spliced from 2 exons. Lineage: Eukaryota; Viridiplantae; Streptophyta; Magnoliopsida; Malvales; Malvaceae.